RNAcentral lists this long non-coding RNA (727 nucleotides) under Zalophus californianus (California sea lion). RNAcentral's name for it is "lncRNA (ENSZCAG00015000005.1)". The record is from RNAcentral. Lineage: Eukaryota; Metazoa; Chordata; Mammalia; Carnivora; Otariidae.
UAGCCAUUCUGCAUCUGUCCUCGUGGGCUGUGUCAGCCAAAGCCUCAAGUGGUCACCAAAGAUUUCUAAGAGAUCUGUCUCUGCACUGCUUCCUUCUCUCUGUUUCUCUGGCACACGCAUUCCAGCCACCCCGUCAGCUCAUGGGUCUCUGGGAUCCACUUUCCUGUGCUACAGUUUGGAAAACUCCCUAAUGCAGACAGCCGGAAAAAACCAAUAUCCCCAGAGCAAUGCAGAAUGAUGAUAACAGUUCCAGGGAAGAAAUUAAAAACACAUGAAAUUUUUUCCACUUGGCUGAUGGAGCAUUGAUGCCCUGGUGUCUGGAACAAAUGCAGAACAUCUACAAAGCAGAGGCUUUUUCUAGAGCAAGAGAUGCUGGAAGGACAGGGUGGGAAUAAGAAGUGGAAAAUAGAUCACAGUUCAACUCACAUACCCUUCUCUGGAUAGAUACACUCAACUCCGACCUGCAGACCACAGCUGUGGGUAUGCCAAAAGAAAUGUGUACGCACACCUGCAUGAUGAGCACCUCUCUCAAGCAAGAUGGAGCAUGUGCCAUUUCAUUCCCAUCAUGAACAUGCUUUAGCCAAAAGCAGGGAGAACAGAUUUCCUUGGGUACACUUGAUGUCACAGAAAAAUAUGCUUGUCUUAGGUCGGCAGCCAUGCAGCAUAGAAUAAUGACAUCCUCCAGAUAGUUUUCCCCUGGGCCUUCUAAGCAUGACCAAAUAAAGAU